RNAcentral lists this small nuclear RNA (298 nucleotides) under Chinchilla lanigera (long-tailed chinchilla). Its description in RNAcentral is "7SK RNA (ENSCLAG00000022165.1)". It matches the Rfam family "7SK RNA", at positions 1 to 270 of the family's 331-position model. Rfam says of the family: 7SK was discovered as an abundant small nuclear RNA in the mid-70s but a possible function has only recently been suggested. Two independent studies have found that 7SK RNA binds the CDK9/cyclin T complex (known as elongation factor P-TEFb). Lineage: Eukaryota; Metazoa; Chordata; Mammalia; Rodentia; Chinchillidae. The record is from Rfam by way of RNAcentral.
GGAUGUGAGGGCAAUCUGGCUGCGACAUCUGUCAACACUGACACUAGGGUUGAUUCGGCUGAUCUGGUUGGCUAGGCGGGUGUCCCUUCCUCCCUCACUGCUCCCUGAGCAUCCCUCCCAAAGCUGCACAACCAACCUGGACGGAGGAGAACCAUUUCCUUGGUCAGUGUAUAUGAGAAGCUGCGCUCCCCUGCUAGAACCUCCAAACAAGCUCUCAAAACCUCAAAACUACUAACACAGUAAAACUUAAGCACCAAGAAAACAGAAUUUAAGUACUUUUGGAAAAAUGUGGUAGCCA